CCGUGGCGUUAGACUGAUGCUG
This 22-nucleotide microRNA is filed under the name Petromyzon marinus (sea lamprey). Its description in RNAcentral is "pma-miR-132-5p". Its record names the gene pma-miR-132-5p. The record is from miRBase by way of RNAcentral. Lineage: Eukaryota; Metazoa; Chordata; Hyperoartia; Petromyzontiformes; Petromyzontidae.